This 338-nucleotide long non-coding RNA is filed under the name Felis catus (domestic cat). RNAcentral's name for it is "lncRNA (ENSFCAG00000052862.1)". Lineage: Eukaryota; Metazoa; Chordata; Mammalia; Carnivora; Felidae. The record is from RNAcentral.
AGAGGAGGCACUGGCAGAGGCCUUCCUUUGUGUAUUAGUUUGGCCUUGGAUUCCUGGAGUUGGUAUGCGUCUUAAAUAUUUGUAAAUUGGCUGCCUGAAUAUCUUUUGCAGGAGAAGGAAAUUGUCAACUUCCUAUUUCCCCAGCCUGAGGGAGGCCCCUCAUUUGAGAAUGGUGGCAUAAAAUUACCACAGGGAAUGAAAGGUUUCUGAAAUUCUCUACCUAGGAGGAGUUAGAGGAAGACUUUCUGGCUAAGUAGAAGAAGCACACCCACUAAGAGAGAACCCAGUGCAGUGACCAGCACAGCUUGUGGAACCUGACACCCUUGACUCCUGGGAAC